UGAGGAAUAUUGGUCAAUGGGCGAGAGCCUGAACCAGCCAAGUCGCGUGAAGGAAGAAGGUUCUAUGGAUUGUAAACUUCUUUUGUAAGGGAAUAAAAAGAGUUACGUGUAACUUAUUGUAUGUACUUUACGAAUAAGGAUCGGCUAACUCCGUGCCAGCAGCCGCGGUAAUACGGAGGAUCCAAGCGUUAUCCGGAUUUAUUGGGUUUAAAGGGUGCGUAGGCGGGUUUUUAAGUCAGUGGUGAAAGUUUGCAGCUCGACUGUAAAAUUGCCAUUGAAACUGAAGACGUUGAGUGUAAAUGAGGUAGGCGGAAUGUGUUGUGUAGCGGUGAAAUGCUUAGAUAUAACACAGAACACCAAUUGCGGAGGCAGCUUACUGGGAUACAACUGACGCUGAGGCACGAAAGCGGUGGGAUCAAACA
Molecule: ribosomal RNA, 422 nt
Filed under: uncultured bacterium
Lineage: Bacteria
Description: bacterial SSU rRNA
Rfam family: Bacterial small subunit ribosomal RNA
Source: RNAcentral